AUUAUUUUAAUUUGAAAUUUUUGCAGAUCUACUUGAAGUUUGAACAGUCUUCUGGAGAUCCAGCCCGUGUUCAACUUCUCUAUGAACGUGCUAUUACCUAGUUUCCUGUAUCAAGUGAUCUCUAGCUUGGUUAUACUCGCUAUUUGGAUAAAACCUUGAAGGUAGGAAAUAUUGUGCGGGAUGUUCAUUCCAGGGCUAGUAAAAAUUGUCCUUGGGUUGGUGAUCUUUGGGUUCGAUCUUUGCUUGCUUUGGAACGUUGGCGUGCACCUGAGAAAGAGAUAUCUACUGUCUUUGAGAAGUCCCUUCUAUGCACUUUUUCGACCAUUGAGGAGUACCUAAACUCAUUCCUCACUCAAGUGGAUGGUUUGAGACGAA
Pistacia vera is the source of this 375-nucleotide long non-coding RNA. RefSeq lists it as uncharacterized. The record is from RefSeq and is a predicted model, not a curated record. Lineage: Eukaryota; Viridiplantae; Streptophyta; Magnoliopsida; Sapindales; Anacardiaceae. The transcript is spliced from 4 exons.